This is a small nuclear RNA of Cricetulus griseus (Chinese hamster), 101 nucleotides long. Lineage: Eukaryota; Metazoa; Chordata; Mammalia; Rodentia; Cricetidae. The record is from Ensembl.
AUUUUGGCGAAACAUAAUACUAAUAUUGAACAAUACAGAUAAUAUAAACACGGCCCCUGCUCAAAGAUGACACAUAAAUUUAUAAAUUGUCCCAUACGAAA